This 253-nucleotide ribosomal RNA is filed under the name uncultured bacterium. RNAcentral describes it as "partial 16S ribosomal RNA". It matches the Rfam family "Bacterial small subunit ribosomal RNA", at positions 524 to 776 of the family's 1533-position model. The record is from RNAcentral.
UACGAAGGGUGCAAGCGUUGUCCGGAUUUAUUGGGUUAAAAGGGUGCGUAGGCGGCCAAUUAAGUUAGUGGUGAAAACGUUCGGCUUAACCGGAUACCCGCCAUUGAUACUGAUAGACUUGAGUGCGACAGAGGGUGUUGGAAUGUGUGGUGUAGCGGUGAAAUGCUUAGAUAUCACGCAGAACACCAAUUGCGAAGGCAGAUGCCUAUGUCGUAACUGACGCUGAGGCACGAAAGCGUGGGGAGCAAACAGG